Electrophorus electricus (electric eel) is the source of this 2363-nucleotide long non-coding RNA. RefSeq lists it as uncharacterized. Lineage: Eukaryota; Metazoa; Chordata; Actinopteri; Gymnotiformes; Gymnotidae. The record is from RefSeq and is a predicted model, not a curated record.
GACGCGUGUCGGUCCCGGAGCUGCGACCUCACGCGUUUCCUCACUGGACCAACAUCUCCGCGUCCGGGCGCCUCCGCAGUACCGAUGUGUUGUCCCCGUGUAUUGGUGCGUGCAUACGACACGGUGACGUGCCUUGCAACACGGCACGGAGGAGCCCUCCGCUCUGCGCAAGCUUUGCCGUCCGCGCGAGCGAGAUUCCUGUUGACUUCAGUUCAACUGGACCGGCGUGAAGUUCCCAUCCGUGUUGUGUUGUGCAUUGUCUGACAGCGCGCUCCGAGACGACCUGUCUUUGGUCUCUCUUGGACCUGUCCUGGACCUCUCCUGGAUGCAAACGCCUCUUCCUCAGCAGCAGGUUUUAUGGUGCAAAAACGGCAUCAUUCAAACAGGAAAGGGUUGCUGAUUUUAUGGAGUGGAGGAUUAACUGACUAUUAUCCAGUCUGUUAAUACAUUAUAGCCACAAAUUCUCAGAGGAGGCCGUGCAGAGGAAUGUGCAGGAGGAGAAGUUUUGAAGGAUUUAUCAUGCUGAGAGCUUCUUCUCUCCACGGGGCAAUCUGAAGAUCUACAUCCCCCCUGCACUUCUGCAGCAUCUGAUCGUAAAUGGAUCAGUCCCCACAGAGCCCUCAACCACAUCUCCUUUACAAAUCUAUCUGCACAAGGACAACUUUAACCAGGACAUAAUGAGUCUUGGAAAUGGGCCAGCACAUAGCAGUGAGCUGCACAUCCAUGUGGUCGGGGCAAUUCCGACUAAUCCCAAAGUGGACUUGUGUUUAUUUUCCCGGCUGGGCGUCCGUGCUGAACAGACGUCCAGGGUUCCGGGAGGAACAGCGCCUCGGCCCAGCUGAAGCGUGACACGGUGGGGAAGGAGGGCACCACGCCACUGUUCAAUCCCAUGAGCCCCCCACGUCAGCCUCUGAAGUGCCGCCAUACCCCCACCCACAGCCCAGGCAGCGGGCACACCAGGCCGACUCCACCCGGGCCGUUGCAUGGAGACAGACGUACACAGCAUAAAUAUCCACUCUACUGAGGUUAAGUCCAGUGUGCUGGAACAGAGAGUCCAAACCCGAGUCUCCCUGUCUAAGUCCCCCUACAAGACUGCACUAUAUUUCCCCUCGACCGUAUUACAAUGACACUUAAACCUUUACGGAGCUCCUCCAGCGCUGGCUGCCUCACUAUAAAAAGCGGCUUGAAAAUAGCACGAGUAAACCGCUAAGUGUUUUACUGCUAUAGGAGCAUCUUCAUGGGCUGGUUGUGGAAUUUUAAUCAGAGCCUGUGAAUGUUGUUCCUCUCAUGGAGUGGCAGCGGAGCGGUUGGGCGGGGGGUGUGGAGUGAAUGAGAGGCUCACAUCCCUGGGGAAAGAGAUCAUAUCCAACGGCAUGGCAGUCAAUGCGCAAAGGAACGCUGUUGCUCCACACAGGAAAAUGCAGUUGGAUUAAAAUGAGAUUACCAAGAUUACCCUCACGUCAAGAAAGGGAGAGUGAGAGGUAAAAACAGAGGAUUAGUGAAGCAUGCAGUAUCCAGGGUUGAUGGCGUUAUUCGCUAAACUCAAUCACCCGGUAAAUAAAAGUGCUGUUUGCCUGUGGUGUGAGUUCUUGGGUCAAUGGAGCCCAAGCAGAGACACCCACGACAGUGUCCACCUGGCCCUGGAAUUAACCUCUGUCCACUGUGAUUUAUUCGCGGGGAGGAUUAGGGAGAUGUCACACGGAUCGUCGGGUUCCACUGCAGCUCGUAAAGACGAAGUCGAGGUUCAUGACGACAGUUCUAGCACAGGCUGCGCAAUUAGUUUGUUUCUGGAGUCUAACGUUAGACUGAGCCACCACGGGGGCUGCAUGUGGAAGCCACCAAAACUGGUUCAUGGUGCCACUUUAAAACUAACUGCAGGUCAUCACAUCAGAAGUGCCAGGUCUUUAACUUUGCUAUCUCGGGGACUAGAGGUAAAAGGCUUCUGUGAGUCAUAAAAGAUCUUAAAAGAAGAGCACUGAUCCUGGAUCAGUUUCCCCACUUGUUUUACAGCCUUUUGAUGUCUCUGCUUCUGCAGGAGCUGCAAUGUUUACAUUUGAAAGAAGAAACUAGGUCUUCUGCAACAAAAGGCUCUGAUGCUCCACUUUUCACAGCUCACCAUUGGGACUGUACUAUCUACUUUUAGCCCAAAUUCAUCACAGUUUGCCAAGAAAUGGACUUUGUGUGUAUAUAACUUUGCCUAUAUUCAAAUUAAAAUAACUUGCUGGUUGUAUAUAAUAAAACACACUGAUUAGAAUGCUGACCAGUGUCAACUGGAUAUUCUGUAGCAGAUGCCAGAGACUUUUUAUGGCCACAGCCGGAGGUUGCUCUUUAAAUCUAUUAAUAAAGAAGAAAUCUCUCUUCUA